AAAUACUAUGUUAUUUAGCUCUUCUAUCAGCAGGUAAGCUAUAGGACCUAUUACUUGUAAUGUUACUCAAAGGAAAAUCUCAUCUCUUUCAAUUUUUUUUCAAAUUAAUUAGAAAAUUGCAUGCUUACUAUGAUGUAGGGAAGACAGAAUAGGGACAAAAUAAAUUUUAUAGUUUAUUCAGUUAAUUUGUGUGUGGUAAGGUGGAGUGGAGAAGGUGACAUUUGUAAUUGCAUAUCAUAUUUGCAAAUGCAAAUAUUUGCAAAAUGUCAAUAUAUAGAGUCAGCCCUCUGCAUCUGUGGAUACAACAAACUGUGGAUCAAAAAUAUUUCAAGGAACAAAAAAUAUCAACAUGGUAAUAAAAAUAAUGUAAAUAAAAAACAAUACAUUAUAACAAUUAUUUGUAUAGCAUUUACAUGGUAUUAGAGUUAUAAAUACUCUACAGAUGAUUUAAAGUAUACAGGAGAAUGUGCAUAGGUUAUAUGCAAAUACUGCCAUUUUAUUUGAGAGAUUUGAACAUCUGCAGAUUUUGGUAUCCUCAGAAGUCCUGAAACCAAUUCCCCGAGGAUACCCAUGAAGGACUGUACAUAUACACCCACACACAAUGACUUUUAUUCCCACACAGGUUUGUGGGGAAAAAAAGGAAGAGUGAACUUGGGUUACAUGAAUCCAAUUGGUUACACCUAAUUUUCUCCAUUUUCUCUUCUUCACUUCUAAUUGCUAAAUUAAAAACAAUUAAUAAUUUUCAUAAAAUGAGUAUUUUGUUUUCCACAGAUACUUCUUAAUGCUAUCAUUACAAAUACUCUACUGGAACAUAUAUACUCCCUCCUAAAUGUUCUAUAUUAUCAAAGGUAUACUUUCUUAAAGAAGUAGAUUUGAGAUGACAGAAUUUCAUGAAGAUUUGUAAAAUUAACUAUAACUUGUUAAAUAUGGAUGAAUAUUAACUUGUUAAUUUAAAUUGAGCAGAGAUAAAGGAAAGCAAGAUAUGUAAGCUGUUUAUUGCAUCAGUAAUUUUCAAAGAAAAUGAAUGUAAAGUAAACAGAGCAACAGAGGCCUGUGAAAAAACUAGAAAGAAAACAGCCACAUGGCAAGAGAAGAAGGAAUGGAAGAAGGCUCUGGGAGGUGUUGAAUUUGUUUGAGUUCUUUCUCCUAGAAGACAGAAGCAGGUGCAAUAGAACACAAAUAUAAAAAGGGAAGCCAAGGUUCCUGCCUGGGUCAUAAAAAAUACUGGAUACAAAAGAUUUUAGAAGAAGAAGGAGAAAACAAAUUCAGGGGCAAGACACCAGAACCAUUGGAAAGACCGAUGGAGAGUUACGUGAAGAGCUUCCAGAAAAUAAGGCAUAUACAAGUGCUAGUAUUCCAGUCUUACACACAGAUGCAUAGAUAAAUAAAUAACAUCACACAUUUGCUAAUAAAUAGCACAGAUGACUUUUUAGAUGUAUCUCUAGAUGUAACGAUUCUUAGAAGCUUCAUACCCAAAUUUCCAGAUAUCUUCAACAGUCUAAAGUAGAACUCUUUACCAGCUCCAUCAAGACAAUUCUUUAUCUAGCUCUAUCUCAAUUGAUAUCUUUACAUCUCCCCAAGCAACGUGAGCUCAAGACUUUUAAUUCCUUUUUGUUAAGCGUUCUAUAUUGACACUUAAUUCUGCAAGUGCUCUUCCUCAGUGUCUCAUACGUAAUUCUAUUUAUUUGCUGCUACUGGUAUAACAAUUACAUUAUUGUAAUUGUUUCCUAACUGGUCUCCCAAACUCCAGUUAUUCAACUUUUCUCUUUUCUCUAAAGUAAAACCACCCACCUCUCACCACAAAAUAAUUCAACUCAUUAUAUGCCCAGUGCAGUAGUCCAAUGAUACUUAAUGCCUGGAGGCGGAGAACCAAAUUUCUUAACCUUAUUUUUAAAACCCUAUACCUUUCAUAUUUGCCAUUUCAUCUCCCCUACUUUUCCCUUCAUAACAAUGUGUUUCAUGCUUGUAGUAUAGUGCUGUCUUAGCUUGUCUCAUAUUAAAGCUAUCCAUAAUUGCUUCAAUUGGUCAUGUGAGACUGGAAAUGCAGAGAGAGCCAGGACAAUGCUUUCCUUGCCUUUGCUUAAUUCAAAAUGCUUUUCAGGAUGUUUUAUAUACAGUAGAAUAUAGCAGUGACUGCCACUUGUAUAUCCAUAUCAAUUCUCCCUUAUCAAAGCUCACCAGUCAAAGUCUAUACAGAACUCAAAUGUGGUCAAACAAGGAAGAGCAGGGUCUCUUAGUAACAGGAAGUUGGAAGAGGCUUAUUAUAGGAUUUAGACUUGUGCUGUGUGGCUAUAGAGGCUAGAGAAAGGAAGGCUAGCUUUGAAUUGAAUAAUGUCCAGAAGUAAGAGCAAUUCAGUAACAUAGUUGCCAGGUAUCAUAAUCUUUGUUCAGGACACUGGAGGAACAAAAUCAUGCUAGGGAUAUAUCAUUGGUAAUAAAACAGCAACAUACUCAAAAGUCAAUUUUUGCAGCUACAAUAUGGCCUUGUUAAAAACAUGGUUUAUUAUAAUCUAACCAUUAACAGCUAAUUUUUCAUUUUCUCUCUUUUCUUUCUUUUAGUGAUAGAACCACCUAAAUUUAAUAGGGUAUGUGGCUGUCCAGACUAUGCUAUUAAACCCUUCAUGUUGCUAAUUUUGUGUAUGUAGCUAAAUUCUAGUCAAUGGGAUGAAACCUGAUUUCAUGCUUGUGACUUCCAUAGUACAUUUUUUUUUAAAAAAAGAAACAGCUUUCUCUCAUUCAUCCUUUACUUCAUUCUAUGAACCAAACACAUAUGUAUUUCUGUAGGUCAGCUUUGACUAUGUAUUUCCUUGGAGAUAGUGGAGUAAAAAGUUAGAAGGCUCAUAAGAUUCCAUGACAACUUUGUGGAACAUAGCUACCUGUCUACCCUAGAUCGUUCACCUUCUUCUGAAUAGUAAAUGAAAAAGAAAUAAUCUAUCUUCCUUUACCCAGUGAACAUUUGAAUCUUUUCAUUAGAGUAGCUUGUUUCAUACUCAUUUAAUAACAUAUGACAAGAUAUUGGCCAUUGAAUUAUGAAUUAUAAUAAUAAAAUGUUAAGUACCUCUACUAUGGAUCUAGAAGUUCUUAGUUGGAUUAUGUGCAUUAUCUAUUACCUUCUUUGGCCUUCCAUUAUGUAACUUGCCAAGUAUUUUUAUGAAUCAGGAAACUAUUUGCAUAGAUACACUGAAUAAACAUGUAAGACU
RNAcentral lists this long non-coding RNA (3200 nucleotides) under Homo sapiens (human). Its description in RNAcentral is "HSALNT0315922". Lineage: Eukaryota; Metazoa; Chordata; Mammalia; Primates; Hominidae. The record is from RNAcentral.